RNAcentral lists this ribosomal RNA (288 nucleotides) under Salmonella enterica. RNAcentral describes it as "partial 23S ribosomal RNA". It matches the Rfam family "Bacterial large subunit ribosomal RNA", at positions 2655 to 2925 of the family's 2925-position model. The record is from RNAcentral. Lineage: Bacteria; Pseudomonadati; Pseudomonadota; Gammaproteobacteria; Enterobacterales; Enterobacteriaceae. RNAcentral also lists the same sequence under 1 other name.
UGGAGAACUGAGGGGGGCUGCUCCUAGUACGAGAGGACCGGAGUGGACGCAUCACUGGUGUUCGGGUUGUCAUGCCAAUGGCACUGCCCGGUAGCUAAAUGCGGAAAAGAUAAGUGCUGAAAGCAUCUAAGCACGAAACUUGCCCCGAGAUGAGUUCUCCCUGAGACUUUAGGUCUCCUGAAGGAACGUUGAAGACGACGACGUUGAUAGGCCGGGUGUGUAAGCGCAGCGAUGCGUUGAGCUAACCGGUACUAAUGAACCGUGAGGCUUAACCUUACAACGCCGAAG